RNAcentral lists this long non-coding RNA (400 nucleotides) under Mus musculus (house mouse). RNAcentral describes it as "long non-coding RNA chr3:103694797-103695197". The record is from RNAcentral. Lineage: Eukaryota; Metazoa; Chordata; Mammalia; Rodentia; Muridae.
AUGGGCAAGGGCAUGAAAGUGGUGCUGGUCCUGACUGGAUGCUACUCCGGAUGCAAAGCCGUCAAUCUGAGGAACAUCCAGGAUGGCACCUCAGAUGCUCACAGCCAUGCUCUGGUGGCUGGAACUGACCACUACCGCCUAAAAGUGUCAGCUGCAUAGGCAACAAGAAAAUCACCAGGAGAUCAGAGAUCAUGUCCUCUGCGAAUUUAUAUGAGUACAAUCACCUCUUGCUCACAACGUACUCUGCAGAUAUCCCCUCAGACAAAACUGUUGUCAACAAAGAUGUCUUAGAGGCCCUUUGGAGCUCUAAAAUGCAUAGCCAUGCAGAAGGCAGGAGGCCAAAUGUGAGGAAAGAUACAAGACAGGAAAGAACAAAUGGUUUUCCCAGAAACUGCCUUUA